CUCAUGGAGAUUUUGAUCCUGGUUCAGGAUGAAUGCUGGCAACAUUCUUAAAACAUGCAAGUCAGAUGAGAAAUGGUGUUUGCAGUGGCGGACGGGUGAGUAACGAGUAAUAACUUGCCCUUUGGAGGAGAACAACAGCUGGAAAUGGCUGCUAAUACCUCAUAGGCGGAGGAUCCAAAAGAGGAAUCCACUCGAGGAGGGGCUCGCAUCUGAUUAGCUAGUUGGUAAGGCAAUAGCUUACGAAUGAGAUAAUAAAUAGCUGGUUUGAGAGAAUGAUCAGCCUCACAGGGACUGAGACAUGACCCAAAAUCUUACAGGAGGAUGCAGUCGGGAAUUUUCCACAGUGGGAAAAAUCCUAAUAAAGAAAUGCCGCAUGCAGGUAGAAAGCCCACGAGUCGUGAACUUAUUUUCCCAGAGAAUAAGUAAUGGUGAUAUCUAGUGCAUAAGUAUUGGAUAACUCUGUGCCAGUAGUCACGGUAAUAUAGAGGUUUCAAGCAUUAUUCGGAAUGAUUAGGCGUAAAUAAUCUGUAGGUGGCUUUUUAAGUCCGCCGUCAAAUCCCAGGUCUCAACCCUAGGUAGGCGGUGGAAAAUACCAAGCUCAAUUAUGGUAGGGGCAGAGGGAAUUUUUAGUGGAGCGAUGAAAUACGUAGAUACAGGAAAGAACACCAAUUACAAAAGCACUCUGCUAGGCUGACACUGACACUGAGAGACGAAAGCUAGGGGAGUGAAUAGGUUUAGAUACACUAGUAGUCCUACCUAUAAAUGAUGGAUACUUGGCACUAUCCGUAUCGACCUGUGUAGUGCUGUAGCUAACACAUUAAGAAACCCUCGCAAGAAAAACUUAAAGGAAUUGAUGGGGGCCCGCACAAGUGGUGGUGAAUAUGGUUUAAUUCGAUGCAAAGCGAAGAACCUUACUAGGGCUUGACAUGCCGUGAGUCCUCUUAGAAAAGAGGGGUGCCUUUAGGAAUAUGGACAUAGGUGGUGCAUAGCUGUAGUCAACUCAUCCUCUAAGGAAUUUAGUUAAGUACCACAACGAGCGCAACCCUCAUGUUUAGUUUUCACCAUUGAGUUUCGAACCCUGAACAGACUACUGAUGAUAAGCCAGAGGAAGUUUAGAAUGAUGUUAAUUCAUCAUGCCGCUUAUGCCCUAGGCAACACACGUGCUACAAUAGCCAGGACGAAGGGUCACGAUCCUGUGAGAGUGAGCUAACCCUAAAAACCCAUCCUCAGUUAGAAUUAUAGGCUGCAAUCGCUAUUAGUCGCCAGUCAACCAUACGGUGGUGAAUUUGUUCUCGGGCCUUCUACACACCGCCCAUCAAACUAUGGGAGCUAGCCAUGCCCAAAUUUGUUACCUUAACCACAAUGAGGGGGAUGCCAAAGGUAUGGUUAGUGACUGUAGUGAAGUCAUAACAAGGUAGCCGUACUGGAAGGUGCGGUUCGAUCACCUCCUUU
This is a non-coding RNA of Capsicum annuum, 1452 nucleotides long. The record is from Rfam. Lineage: Eukaryota; Viridiplantae; Streptophyta; Magnoliopsida; Solanales; Solanaceae.